Bos taurus (domestic cattle) is the source of this 760-nucleotide long non-coding RNA. The record is from Ensembl. NCBI's taxonomy places the organism in Eukaryota, Metazoa, Chordata, Mammalia, Artiodactyla, Bovidae.
GUUUACAGUGUUUGCUUUCUUAGUCUAUAGCCAACCAGCCUAAGAUAAGCAGCAGCUGCCAUGUACUGAUGAUUAGCUAAAGGAAUCAUACAUGUCAUCUAGUUAGCUCAUGUAAUCCUUUUUGACAAACGUGAGUAUUAUUUAGUCCCAUCUUAUGGAUGAAUAAACUGGGAUUCAGAGAGAACAAGAAACUGGUCCUUUAAGGUACAGUGAGUUGGACUUCACAAGACUGUAUUCUCAGGAAGGAAAAAAAAAAGUUGGUUCCAAAUUAGGAAUGUGACCACUUGUGCCAGGGUUCUUAGAAGCACUUCCUCAUCCCUAAGAGUGGUCUUCUUUCUCUGGAUACUGGCGUGUUUGGAUUGUGAUGCCAAGGUUUUUUGCUAUCAUCUGUCUCUUGCCCAAGGAGGAAGCUGUUCUCUGAAGGAUGAGAGAGUAAAGAUUGGAGGAGCCUUGGAUCCUUCAUGACCUUGUUGUGCAACAGCAUCUAUCAACCUUGCCCUCCCUAUGAACUUCCUUGUUAUAUGAUAUAAUAAAUUUCCCAAUUGUUUCAGUAUUAGUCACAGUGUGAAUGGGUUUUAUUAUUAGCAGCUAAAACAUUCUGUUCACCAAGUGCCACUUGGUAACACUGAUUUUCCACAAAUGCUGGUAAAAUGCUCACUUCAACUCAUCCCACAUUCUCCAGCAUAGUUAGAGAAUGCUCUGGAGAAUAUACAUGGGUCCAGAUUUUUUAGAAACUCUCCAGGUACGCAGACCUCAGUCU